UGGGGAAUUUUGGACAAUGGGGGCAACCCUGAUCCAGCAAUGCCGCGUGUGUGAAGAAGGCCUUCGGGUUGUAAAGCACUUUUGUCCGGAAAGAAAUGGCUCUGGUUAAUACCCGGGGUCGAUGACGGUACCGGAAGAAUAAGCACCGGCUAACUACGUG
Molecule: ribosomal RNA, 160 nt
Filed under: uncultured bacterium
Lineage: Bacteria
Description: partial 16S rRNA
Rfam family: Bacterial small subunit ribosomal RNA
Source: RNAcentral